RNAcentral lists this ribosomal RNA (460 nucleotides) under uncultured bacterium. Its description in RNAcentral is "partial 16S ribosomal RNA". It matches the Rfam family "Bacterial small subunit ribosomal RNA", at positions 338 to 795 of the family's 1533-position model. The record is from RNAcentral.
CCUACGGGUGGCAGCAGUGAGGAAUAUUGGUCAAUGGCCGGAAGGCUGAACCAGCCAUGCCGCGUGAAGGUCAGUGCCCUAUGGGCGUUAAACUUCUUUUGUGCGGGAGCAAUAAUGGUCACGUGUGGCCAGACGAGAGUACCGUACGAAUAAGCAUCGGCUAACUCCGUGCCAGCAGCCGGGGUAAUACGGGGAAUGCAAGCGUUUUCCGGGUUUAUUGGGUUUAAAGGGUGGGGAGGCUGGGAGGUAAGUCAGCGGUGAAAUGCCCCCGCUCAACGGGGUGAAGUGCCAUGGAUACUGCCUUGCUGGAAUGCGGAUGCCGUGGGAGGAAUGUGUGGUGUAGCGGUGAAAUGCAUAGAUAUCACACAGAACACCGAUUGCGAAGGCAGCUCACGAAUCCGCGAUUGACGCUGAUGCACGAAAGCGUGGGUAUCAAACAGGAUUAGAUACCCGAGUAGUC